RNAcentral lists this ribosomal RNA (460 nucleotides) under uncultured bacterium. RNAcentral's name for it is "partial 16S ribosomal RNA". It matches the Rfam family "Bacterial small subunit ribosomal RNA", at positions 338 to 795 of the family's 1533-position model. The record is from RNAcentral.
CCUACGGGAGGCUGCAGUGAGGAAUAUUGGUCAAUGGGCGGAAGCCUGAACCAGCCAAGUAGCGUGCAGGAUGACGGCCCUACGGGUUGUAAACUGCUUUUAUACGGGAAUAACGCGCCUUACGUGUAGGGCUUUGCAUGUACCGUAUGAAUAAGGACCGGCUAAUUCCGUGCCAGCAGCCGCGGUAAUACGGAAGGUCCGGGCGUUAUCCGGAUUUAUUGGGUUUAAAGGGAGCGUAGGCCGCAUGUCAAGCGUGCUGUGAAAUGUCCGGGCUCAACCCGGGCCUUGCAGCGCGAACUGGCGUGCUUGAGUCCGCGGAAAGCAGGCGGAAUUCGUCGUGUAGCGGUGAAAUGCUUAGAUAUCACACAGAACACCGAUUGCGAAGGCAUCUGACGAAUCGGAGAUUGACGCUGAUGCACGAAAGCGUGGGUAUCGAACAGGAUUAGAUACCCGGGUAGUC